UGGUACCAGAAGUGGAUAAUUACUUGGCUUGGAUCCAGUGAGAUGCCUCUUACAACUGACUGAAUCAGAAAGAAACUGGUGGUAAAUGGUAAUAUUACAGGGGGUGUAAGAUUUGACUUUUAAAAAUUCACGGGGAUGUUUGCGUUCUACCCCUUUGUUUCAUUUUUCUUAUAUGCUCAGGUAGCAAAAAAAAAAAAAAUCAUUGACUGAGUUAAUCAAGGGCACCUGAGAGUAAAGCCAAUAUUUUAGGUAAAGGUGGGAUCCUUAAUUUCUGGAAAACUGAGCUCCUUCCAACUUACACGUUAAACACAGAAAACAGCAUAGUCUUACAGAAAUGAUGAAAUCUUACUAAAGGUAACUUACAGUGGAACAUUCUGAAUGAACCACGACAGACUGAAGUACAUUUAAAAAUGAGGACUCCCAAAAAUUAAAAUCUGCUAACCUUUUAACUUAGUUACUAUCCCCAUCUAAAGGAAAUAGACUGCAGCACCAACUGACUGACUUUGAAUAAGUAAUGGGGUACAUUUUACCCGAGUAAAGAAUGGCACUGGGUUAGAGGCCCUCCGCUCAGUAAAGUCCCUUUUGGUUAAAAAUGGGUUAAAGAUGACAGAGCCUUGCCAGUUUAAUAUUUGAUGCCUCCAUGCAGCCACUUGGGUGGCAACUUGCAAAAUUGAGAGGCUUUUGCCUGUGGUUCCAUGAGACAGAAAAAAUAUUAUUUUCCUUUGUGUUGCAGCUUGGCCCCCAGGGCCGUGGUGCAGCCAGCAGGUCACUAGGGCCACUUGGGGAAAGGGAACCCGGAAGCCCGACAUGUCAGCAAAAGAGUAAAAAUUUCUUACCAGUCAGACUGCUGCCUCUCUCUCCCUGUACAAACUGGUUGAAUGAAUGAUAAAAAUCAUUAUCUCCUGUGAAGUUUUGAUUAAUGAAAAAAGGAUUUAUGAGGCUACUCUUGAACUAUAGCCAAUCUGUUGAUGUCGUCUCACAUGAGGUGAGAAAAUAAAUGGACUCCUCCCGCUCCCCGCCCCCUUUCUGGCUCCCAGUUCAGCUAAGCCAUAAAACUUCUUUUCAGACAACUUAAACGUGUGUAAGAUAUUUGCAGUGUCUGAGGUUGCCUUGUUUGGUGCUGUACUUGGCUGCUCUCAGAACCCGUUCCAGAGGCCAGGUGAAUGAAUGGUGAAUAGACUCCAGUGUUCUGGAGGGAGGUAGGGGGACAGGGAAAUGGCUGAUCAUGAACAACGCCC
RNAcentral lists this long non-coding RNA (1238 nucleotides) under Homo sapiens (human). RNAcentral describes it as "HSALNT0086247". The record is from RNAcentral. Lineage: Eukaryota; Metazoa; Chordata; Mammalia; Primates; Hominidae.